The sequence is a transfer RNA, 103 nucleotides long. It matches the Rfam family "tRNA". From Rfam's summary of the family: Transfer RNA (tRNA) molecules are approximately 80 nucleotides in length. Their secondary structure includes four short double-helical elements and three loops (D, anti-codon, and T loops). Further hydrogen bonds mediate the characteristic L-shaped molecular structure. tRNAs have two regions of fundamental functional importance: the anti-codon, which is responsible for specific mRNA codon recognition, and the 3' end, to which the tRNAs corresponding amino acid is attached (by aminoacyl-tRNA synthetases). tRNAs cope with the degeneracy of the genetic code in two manners: having more than one tRNA (with a specific anti-codon) for a particular amino acid; and 'wobble' base-pairing, i.e. permitting non-standard base-pairing at the 3rd anti-codon position. The record is from Rfam.
GGGAAUAUGGUCUAGUGGUAUGACGUCGCUUCCGCAUACCUGUGACCUCCAAGUUCGCGGUCCGGAAAAGCGAAGGUCCGGGGUUCGAUCCCCUGUGUUUCCA